UACGGAGGGGGCGAGCGUUAUUCGGAAUUAUUGGGCGUAAAGGGCGCGUAGGCGGCCCGGUAAGUCAAAGGUGAAAUCCCUCGGCUCAACUGAGGAACUGCCUUUGAAACUGUCGGGCUUGAGGCCGGGAGGGGGUAGCGGAAUUCCCAGUGUAGCGGUGAAAUUCGUAGAUAUUAGGAAGAACACCAGUGGCGAAGGCGGCUCACUGGCCCGGUACUGACGCUGAGGCGCGAAAGCGUGGGGAGCAAACAGG
Molecule: ribosomal RNA, 253 nt
Filed under: uncultured bacterium
Lineage: Bacteria
Description: partial 16S ribosomal RNA
Rfam family: Bacterial small subunit ribosomal RNA
Source: RNAcentral